GGAAAAGUAUGGUCAUACACAGUCACUGUCACAUUACGGAACAACUCCCUGGCGUGGUUAUGGCGUGGGGGCUUGACGGGGGCUCAGAGUGUCCCUUGAGCUGUCAGACACCCCACCGGUGUUGAUAGCUACGAAGAUGGCUUCCUUGUGUGGAGAAACAUCGGGUUCCAUUGCUCUACAAAGUGAAGAGACCUGGGUGUGCCAUCGUCGAAGAAUGAAGAAUUUUGAAUAUAUACGUCUGAAUUCUUACAAAGAGUGCUUUAUACACUUCUCACUACAAAACUUGAUAUGAAAAACAAAGAGUCGAAUGCUAAUGUCCUUAAAUUUGUUAAAGAGAUAGAUGUGUAUGUCAAGAACAUGAGUGAAAUUAUUGCAGAUCCGAUGUUUUCAGAUCAGAAACGGAAGCCUGGGGGAUUCUGCAGUGUGUAUUCCAAAAUACAGCAUGUUUUGCACAGAACCUGUGGUAACACCAUCCCACUGAUUACUCAGGCAAAUUUUUUUCCUCUGCUAGAUAGAAUUGCCCAGUGCGGUUCGCAUGGCUUUAGACACGGGGAGUGGAAGGGGGUUAUGAAUGCUUUUUCAGAUGCCUCAAAGUUUCUCAGCAAUGUUGGGGUGGUGGUUACGUGUACCGAACUAAUUUUCCACACCAACAUUUAAUUGUUGAUUGCAAACAGAAGCCGGUAACGCGUUUGUACUGAGAUGUUCCUGUGUUUGAAAACCUACCGUUGAAAUAAAGUGGUUCACAUUUCACAUGCUUGCAAACAGGAGACUGUAACUUGCAUGAAAAGUGUGUACUGUGAUGUUUCUGUGUUCGAAAACCUACU
Molecule: non-coding RNA, 824 nt
Organism: Lepisosteus oculatus (spotted gar)
Lineage: Eukaryota; Metazoa; Chordata; Actinopteri; Semionotiformes; Lepisosteidae
Source: RefSeq, a predicted model, not a curated record